UUUGGGUAGCACUUGACGGGCGGGUACCCAACCCCGCCAGGGCCGGAAGGCAGCAACGGUCAGUAUUCCGUCCGGGUAAGUGUCUACCCUUUUUU
RNAcentral lists this signal recognition particle RNA (95 nucleotides) under Ignavibacteriales bacterium. RNAcentral describes it as "signal recognition particle sRNA small type". It matches the Rfam family "Bacterial small signal recognition particle RNA". From Rfam's summary of the family: The signal recognition particle (SRP) is a universally conserved ribonucleoprotein involved in the co-translational targeting of proteins to membranes. Archaeal SRP consists of a 7S RNA and homologues of the eukaryotic SRP19 and SRP54 proteins. Lineage: Bacteria; Pseudomonadati; Ignavibacteriota; Ignavibacteria; Ignavibacteriales. The record is from RNAcentral.